CGACCAACUCAAGCUACGAUAUAUCAGUAUUGAUGAACGUUCAAAGGACUGCCAUAGCCUUUUUCAAAAUGGAAAUACGUACAUGAGUUUUGGGUCCUUCGACCUCAGGUAGCAACGAGCUGAGCGGCUUGAUGAAAUUAAUGAAACGAGCUAAAUAAGGACAUUAGAUGGCUUUAUUCUAUGAUACUUCAGAUAACUUACCUCCGCCCAUGGUUAGGUUUGUCGUGAGUUUUAUCUGUCCUGUUCUCGUUUGGUAUGGCGAGGUGGAUAUCUAGUUCAG
Schizosaccharomyces pombe (fission yeast) is the source of this 280-nucleotide non-coding RNA. Lineage: Eukaryota; Fungi; Ascomycota; Schizosaccharomycetes; Schizosaccharomycetales; Schizosaccharomycetaceae. The record is from the annotation of a GenBank genome assembly.